GAUGAACGCUAGCGGCAGGCUUAACACAUGCAAGUCGAGGGGUAACAGGAUUUAGUUUACUAGAUUGCUGACGACCGGCGCACGGGUGAGUAACGCGUAUACAAUUUGCCUUUUACUGAAGAAUAGCCCAGAGAAAUUUGGAUUAAUGCUUCAUGGUAUUAUUUGGUCACCUGACCGAGUAAUUAAAGUUCCGGCGGUAAAAGAUGAGUAUGCGUCCUAUUAGCUAGAUGGUAAGGUAACGGCUUACCAUGGCGACGAUAGGUAGGGGUCCUGAGAGGGAGAUCCCCCACACUGGUACUGAGACACGGACCAGACUCCUACGGGAGGCAGCAGUGAGGAAUAUUGGGCAAUGGAGGCAACUCUGACCCAGCCAUGCCGCGUGCAGGAAGACUGCCCUAUGGGUUGUAAACUGCUUUUAUACAGGAAGAAACUUACCCACGUGUGGGUAACUGACGGUACUGUAAGAAUAAGGACCGGCUAACUCCGUGCCAGCAGCCGCGGUAAUACGGAGGGUCCAAGCGUUAUCCGGAAUCAUUGGGUUUAAAGGGUCCGUAGGCGGGCAAUUAAGUCAGAGGUGAAAUCCCACAGCUCAACUGUGGAACUGCCUUUGAUACUGGUUGUCUUGAGUUAUAGUGAAGUAGAUAGAAUAUGUAGUGUAGCGGUGAAAUGCAUAGAUAUUACAUAGAAUACCGAUUGCGAAGGCAGUCUACUAACUGUACACUGACGCUAAUGGACGAAAGCGUGGGGAGCGAACAGG
Molecule: ribosomal RNA, 757 nt
Filed under: uncultured bacterium
Lineage: Bacteria
Description: bacterial SSU rRNA
Rfam family: Bacterial small subunit ribosomal RNA
Source: RNAcentral